CACGUACUGUGCGAACGUUAUUCGGAAUCACUGGGCUUAAAGGGUGCGUAGGCGGCUUGGCAAGCCAGGUGUGAAAUCCCGCAGCUCAACUGCGGAACUGCGCUUGGAACUGCCAGGCUUGAGUGAGAUAGGGGUGUGCGGAACUUCCAGUGGAGCGGUGAAAUGUGUUGAUAUUGGAAGGAACACCGGUGGCGAAAGCGGCACACUGGGUCUCAACUGACGCUGAGGCACGAAAGCCAGGGGAGCGAACAGG
RNAcentral lists this ribosomal RNA (253 nucleotides) under uncultured bacterium. RNAcentral's name for it is "partial 16S ribosomal RNA". It matches the Rfam family "Bacterial small subunit ribosomal RNA", at positions 524 to 776 of the family's 1533-position model. The record is from RNAcentral.